RNAcentral lists this ribosomal RNA (254 nucleotides) under uncultured bacterium. RNAcentral's name for it is "partial 16S ribosomal RNA". It matches the Rfam family "Archaeal small subunit ribosomal RNA", at positions 474 to 727 of the family's 1478-position model. The record is from RNAcentral.
CACCAGCGCCUCGAGUGGGGAUCGCGAUUAUUGGGCCUAAAGCGUCCGUAGCAGGCUUUGUAGAUCCUUUGUGAAAUGGGCAGGCUUAACCUGUCCGCGGGCAGAGGAGACCGCAGAGCUUGAGACCGGGAGAGGUUAGCAGUAUUCCUUGGGUACCGGUAAAAUGGGUUAAUCCAAGGAGGACUACCAAUGGCGAAGGCAGCUAACCAGAACGGUUCUGACUGUGAGGGACGAAAGCUAGGGGAGCAAAACGG